CGCUGGCUGUGCGUGGGAGGCCUGGUGGGAGUUUUUGUUUGGUAUUUGCUGCGAGUGUGUGUGUGUGUGUGUGUGUGUGUGUGUGUGUGUGUGUGUGUGUGUGUGUGUGUGUGUUGUGUGUGUGUGAGGGAACUGAUAACUUUUCACAGCUGACAACAGUCAGCGAUUGGAGCAGUAAUAGAGAUAUCAGCCAAAGCCAUCAUGUCCACUGUAGUGGAAUACACAUCCACAUGGAUGCGUGUGGUGCCGCGCGCGUGCACGUGG
Molecule: long non-coding RNA, 264 nt
Organism: Salarias fasciatus (jewelled blenny)
Lineage: Eukaryota; Metazoa; Chordata; Actinopteri; Blenniiformes; Blenniidae
Exons: 3
Source: RefSeq, a predicted model, not a curated record